RNAcentral lists this ribosomal RNA (450 nucleotides) under uncultured bacterium. Its description in RNAcentral is "bacterial SSU rRNA". It matches the Rfam family "Bacterial small subunit ribosomal RNA", at positions 355 to 796 of the family's 1533-position model. The record is from RNAcentral.
UAGGGAAUAUUGCGCAAUGGGGGCAACCCUGACGCAGCAAUGCCGCGUGAGUGAGGAAGGCCUUCGGGUUGUAAAACUCUGUCCUUGGGGAAAAAUGGGUCUGUAGUAAAUAGCUAUAGGCCGUGAUGGUACCCGAGAAGAAAGCACCGGCUAACUUCGUGCCAGCAGCCGCGGUAAUACGAAGGGUGCAAGCGUUGUUCGGAUUUAUUGGGCGUAAAGCGCGCGCAGGCGGAUUGGCAAGUCAUGUGUGAAAUCUCGGGGCUUAACCUCGAAAUUGCGCCUGAAACUACCAGUCUUGAAUACUGGAGAGGGAAGGGGAAUUUCUCAUGUAGGGGUAAAAUCCGUAGAUAUGAGAAGGAACACCAGAGGCGAAGGCGCCUUCCUAGACAGUGAUUGACGCUGAGGCGCGAAAGCGUGGGGAGCAAACAGGAUUAGAUACCCGUGUAGUCC